Molecule: transfer RNA, 99 nt
Filed under: Bignonia capreolata
Lineage: Eukaryota; Viridiplantae; Streptophyta; Magnoliopsida; Lamiales; Bignoniaceae
Description: partial tRNA-Leu
Source: RNAcentral
GACUUAAAAUCCGUCGACUUUUAAAAUCGUGAGGGUUCAAGUCCCUCUAUCCCCAAAAAAAGCCUAUUUGACUCCCAAAAAAAUAUUUAACCUAUCCGC